GCGACCCCAGGAUGGGCGGGUU
RNAcentral lists this ribosomal RNA (22 nucleotides) under Cyrtostylis reniformis. Its description in RNAcentral is "partial 26S ribosomal RNA". RNAcentral also lists the same sequence under 3 other names. The record is from RNAcentral. Lineage: Eukaryota; Viridiplantae; Streptophyta; Magnoliopsida; Asparagales; Orchidaceae.